CAACAGGUAGUUUAUAAAAAUAUUAACUUUGGAAGUUAAAGAAAGUAAUUUAAUUUAUUUUUGUUGA
Molecule: transfer RNA, 67 nt
Filed under: Gorpis annulatus
Lineage: Eukaryota; Metazoa; Arthropoda; Insecta; Hemiptera; Nabidae
Description: tRNA-Pro
Rfam family: tRNA
About the family: Transfer RNA (tRNA) molecules are approximately 80 nucleotides in length. Their secondary structure includes four short double-helical elements and three loops (D, anti-codon, and T loops). Further hydrogen bonds mediate the characteristic L-shaped molecular structure. tRNAs have two regions of fundamental functional importance: the anti-codon, which is responsible for specific mRNA codon recognition, and the 3' end, to which the tRNAs corresponding amino acid is attached (by aminoacyl-tRNA synthetases). tRNAs cope with the degeneracy of the genetic code in two manners: having more than one tRNA (with a specific anti-codon) for a particular amino acid; and 'wobble' base-pairing, i.e. permitting non-standard base-pairing at the 3rd anti-codon position.
Source: RNAcentral